Molecule: ribosomal RNA, 1399 nt
Filed under: uncultured bacterium
Lineage: Bacteria
Description: 16S ribosomal RNA
Rfam family: Bacterial small subunit ribosomal RNA
Source: RNAcentral
UUCGCCCUUAGAGUUUGAUCCUGGCUCAGGAUGAGCGCUGGCGGCAUGCCUAACACAUGCAAGUCGAACGGGGUUUAUAUAACAGAACUCUCCGGAGGGAAGAUAUAUAAACCUAGUGGCGGACGGGUGAGUAACGCGUGGGCAACCUGCCCUGUACCGGGGGACAACAGCCAGAAAUGGCUGCUAAUACCGCAUAAGCCUGCGGUGCCGCAUGGCACAGCAGGGAAAACCACGGUGGUACAGGAUGGGCCCGCGUCUGAUUAGUUAGUUGGCAGGGUAACGGCCUACCAAGACGAUGAUCAGUAGCCGGCUUGAGAGAGUGGACGGCCACAUUGGGACUGAGAUACGGCCCAGACUCCUACGGGAGGCAGCAGUGGGGAAUAUUGGGCAAUGGACGCAAGUCUGACCCAGCAACGCCGCGUGAAGGAAGAAGGCUUUCGGGUUGUAAACUUCUUUUAAGGGGGAAGAGCAGAAGACGGUACCCCUUGAAUAAGCCACGGCUAACUACGUGCCAGCAGCCGCGGUAAUACGUAGGUGGCAAGCGUCGUCCGGAUUUACUGGGUGUAAAGGGCGUGCAGCCGGAGAGACAAGUCAGAUGUGAAAUCCGCAGGCUCAACCUGCGAACUGCAUUUGAAACUGUUUCCCUUGAGUAUCGGAGAGGUCAUCGGAAUUCCUAGUGUAGCGGUGAAAUGCGUAGAUAUUAGGAAGAACACCAGUGGCGAAGGCGGAUGACUGGACGACAACUGACGGUGAGGCGCGAAAGCGUGGGGAGCAAACAGGAUUAGAUACCCUGGUAGUCCACGCUGUAAACGAUCAAUACUAGGUGUGCGGGGACUGACCCCCUGCGUGCCGGAGUUAACACAAUAAGUAUUGCACCUGGGGAGUACGAUCGCAAGGUUGAAACUCAAAGGAAUUGACGGGGGCCCGCACAAGCGGUGGAUUAUGUGGUUUAAUUCGAAGCAACGCGAAGAACCUUACCAGGGCUUGACAUCCUACUAACGAAGUAGAGAUACAUCAGGUGCCCUUCGGGGAAAGUAGAGACAGGUGGUGCAUGGUUGUCGUCAGCUCGUGUCGUGAGAUGUUGGGUUAAGUCCCGCAACGAGCGCAACCCCUAUUGUUAGUUGCUACGCAAGAGCACUCUAGCGAGACUGCCGUUGACAAAACGGAGGAAGGCGGGGACGACGUCAAAUCAUCAUGCCCCUUAUGUCCUGGGCUACACACGUAAUACAAUGGCGGUCAACAGAGGGAUGCAAAGCCGCGAGGCCGAGCGAACCCCUAAAAGCCGUCCCAGUUCGGAUUGCAGGCUGCAACCCGCCUGCAUGAAGUCGGAAUCGCUAGUAAUCGCGGAUCAGCAUGCCGCGGUGAAUACGUUCCCGGGCCUUGUACACACCGCCCGUCA